Molecule: long non-coding RNA, 479 nt
Filed under: Nicotiana benthamiana
Lineage: Eukaryota; Viridiplantae; Streptophyta; Magnoliopsida; Solanales; Solanaceae
Description: long non-coding RNA (NBEN_LNC026588)
Source: RNAcentral
GGAACAGGAAGGAUCUUCUUCAAUUUUAGUUUUAUUGUGUCUUCUCCUCCUAAAGGAUAACCAUGAACAACUAUGAAAUCCUUGAAGCUUUCUCUUGCCUCACCACCAUUAAUAACCCCAUUCUCCACCAUUAAACCCAACAACUUAACACCAUAUUACUUCCCAAAAUGCAGUCAAAACCAUCCCUUUUAUCCAGUUAAACAGGCUGAAAAGUAGCUUCAAUACAGUCUUUAAAUUCACUCCAAACCACUACAGAAACAACCACGAACUACAAUAAAAAAUGCAGCAUCCUCCGUUCCCGAAAAUUGAGUUGCACUGCACAUAUGAUCAAUCACAAUACUUCUGUUUGACAGGGGAUAUGCUGGGUCAGUGGGCAAUUUUUGAACCACCAAAUCAGUGCUUAGACCCGGUAUGUCAUCAUAUGACCAUGCAAAAAUAUCUUUGUACUCAAACAAUGCUUUGAUUAUCUCUUCCCUGAG